This 1370-nucleotide ribosomal RNA is filed under the name Mycolicibacterium gilvum. RNAcentral's name for it is "Mycobacterium gilvum 16S ribosomal RNA". It matches the Rfam family "Bacterial small subunit ribosomal RNA". The record is from RNAcentral. Lineage: Bacteria; Bacillati; Actinomycetota; Actinomycetes; Mycobacteriales; Mycobacteriaceae.
UGCAAGUCGAACGGAAAGGCCCUUCGGGGUACUCGAGUGGCGAACGGGUGAGUAACACGUGGGUGAUCUGCCCUGCACUUUGGGAUAAGCCUGGGAAACUGGGUCUAAUACCGAAUAGGACCGCAUGCUUCAUGGUGUGUGGUGGAAAGCUUUUGCGGUGUGGGAUGGGCCCGCGGCCUAUCAGCUUGUUGGUGAGGUAAUGGCUUACCAAGGCGACGACGGGUAGCCGGCCUGAGAGGGUGACCGGCCACACUGGGACUGAGAUACGGCCCAGACUCCUACGGGAGGCAGCAGUGGGGAAUAUUGCACAAUGGGCGCAAGCCUGAUGCAGCGACGCCGCGUGAGGGAUGACGGCCUUCGGGUUGUAAACCUCUUUCGCCAGGGACGAAGCGCAAGUGACGGUACCUGGAGAAGAAGGACCGGCCAACUACGUGCCAGCAGCCGCGGUAAUACGUAGGGUCCGAGCGUUGUCCGGAAUUACUGGGCGUAAAGAGCUCGUAGGUGGUUUGUCGCGUUGUUCGUGAAAACUCACAGCUUAACUGUGGGCGUGCGGGCGAUACGGGCAGACUUGAGUACUGCAGGGGAGACUGGAAUUCCUGGUGUAGCGGUGGAAUGCGCAGAUAUCAGGAGGAACACCGGUGGCGAAGGCGGGUCUCUGGGCAGUAACUGACGCUGAGGAGCGAAAGCGUGGGGAGCGAACAGGAUUAGAUACCCUGGUAGUCCACGCCGUAAACGGUGGGUACUAGGUGUGGGUUUCCUUCCUUGGGAUCCGUGCCGUAGCUAACGCAUUAAGUACCCCGCCUGGGGAGUACGGCCGCAAGGCUAAAACUCAAAGAAAUUGACGGGGGCCCGCACAAGCGGCGGAGCAUGUGGAUUAAUUCGAUGCAACGCGAAGAACCUUACCUGGGUUUGACAUGCACAGGACGCCGGCAGAGAUGUCGGUUCCCUUGUGGCCUGUGUGCAGGUGGUGCAUGGCUGUCGUCAGCUCGUGUCGUGAGAUGUUGGGUUAAGUCCCGCAACGAGCGCAACCCUUGUCUCAUGUUGCCAGCACGUUAUGGUGGGGACUCGUGAGAGACUGCCGGGGUCAACUCGGAGGAAGGUGGGGAUGACGUCAAGUCAUCAUGCCCCUUAUGUCCAGGGCUUCACACAUGCUACAAUGGCCGGUACAAAGGGCUGCGAUGCCGUGAGGUGGAGCGAAUCCUUUCAAAGCCGGUCUCAGUUCGGAUCGGGGUCUGCAACUCGACCCCGUGAAGUCGGAGUCGCUAGUAAUCGCAGAUCAGCAACGCUGCGGUGAAUACGUUCCCGGGCCUUGUACACACCGCCCGUCACGUCAUGAAAGUCGGUAACACCCGAAGCCGGUGGCCUAACCC